Molecule: ribosomal RNA, 253 nt
Filed under: uncultured bacterium
Lineage: Bacteria
Description: partial 16S ribosomal RNA
Rfam family: Bacterial small subunit ribosomal RNA
Source: RNAcentral
UACGAAGGGUGCAAGCGUUGCUCGGAAUUACUGGGCGUAAAGCGUGCGUAGGUGGUUCGUUAAGUCUGAUGUGAAAGCCCUGGGCUCAACCUGGGAAUGGCAUUGGAAACUGGCGAUCUAGAGUGCGGUAGAGGGUAGUGGAAUUCCCGGUGUAGCAGUGAAAUGCGUAGAGAUCGGGAGGAACAUCUGUGGCGAAGGCGACUGCCUGGACCAGCACUGACACUGAGGCACGAAAGCGUGGGGAGCAAACAGG